Molecule: ribosomal RNA, 474 nt
Filed under: uncultured bacterium
Lineage: Bacteria
Description: bacterial SSU rRNA
Rfam family: Bacterial small subunit ribosomal RNA
Source: RNAcentral
GACGAACGCUGGCGGCGUGCUUAACACAUGCAAGUCGAACGGUAAGGCCUUCGGGUACGACGAGUGGCGAACGGGUGAGUAACACGUGGGUGAUCUGCCCUGCACUUCGGGAUAAGCUUGGGAAACUGGGUCUAAUACCGGAUAGGACCACGGUCUGCAUGGAUUGUGGUGGAAAGCUUUUGCGGUGUGGGAUGGGCCCGCGGCCUAUCAGCUUGUUGGUGGGGUGAUGGCCUACCAAGGCGACGACGGGUAGCCGGCCUGAGAGGGUGUCCGGCCACACUGGGACUGAGAUACGGCCCAGACUCCUACGGGAGGCAGCAGUGGGGAAUAUUGCACAAUGGGCGCAAGCCUGAUGCAGCGACGCCGCGUGGGGGGAUGACGGCCUUCGGGUUGGUAAACCUACUUUCAGCAGGGACGAAGGGUGACUGACGGUACCUGUAGAAGAAGCACCGGCCAACUACGUGCCAGCAGCCG